CAAUGGAGAAAGAGAAACUUAACUCUUAUUGGGCGUAUUACAGUGGUUAAAACAUUGGCAUUACCAAAGCUUAUCCAUCUGUUUUCAUCAUUGCCAAAUCCAGACUCCAGAUUUAUUCAAAAACUUGAUACCUUGUUUUAUAGUUUUGUUUGGCAAAAACCAGUUGGUAAAGUUAAGAGAGAAACAUUAGUGAAAGAUUAUUUUGAAGGGGGGCUAAAAAUGAUUUGUUUGGAACCUUUCAUAAAAUCAC
This 250-nucleotide long non-coding RNA is filed under the name Mytilus galloprovincialis (Mediterranean mussel). The record is from RNAcentral. Lineage: Eukaryota; Metazoa; Mollusca; Bivalvia; Mytilida; Mytilidae.